This is a small nuclear RNA of Callithrix jacchus (white-tufted-ear marmoset), 106 nucleotides long. The record is from Ensembl. NCBI's taxonomy places the organism in Eukaryota, Metazoa, Chordata, Mammalia, Primates, Cebidae.
GUGCUCACUUCGGCGGCAUAUAUACAGACAUCGAAAUGAUACAGAGAGAUCAGCGUGGCCCUUACGCAAGGAUGACAAGCAAAUUCGUGAAGCGUUCCACAUUUUA